RNAcentral lists this small RNA (94 nucleotides) under Olea europaea subsp. europaea. RNAcentral describes it as "Antisense RNA which regulates isiA expression". The stretch from base 11 to 94 matches the Rfam family "Antisense RNA which regulates isiA expression", at positions 16 to 99 of the family's 187-position model. Lineage: Eukaryota; Viridiplantae; Streptophyta; Magnoliopsida; Lamiales; Oleaceae. The record is from Rfam by way of RNAcentral.
GAUAGUUCUUUACUUGGGCUAAGGAUCAAGCUGGUAAUUUUUCUUACAUCUCCCCCUCCCGGAGCCCAAUUAUCAUAUACGCCCCCAAAAUUAC